UUUAAUAAUCUACAUUGCAUUCAGGGCUCUCGCUGAGUGCUCUUCAGCCAGGAUGUUUGGUUACAGGAUCUACUGACAGUACUGUGAAAAUAUGGGACAUACAAAAACAACAGGCCAGCCUGGUGGAGCAGAGAAACUUUAAGCUGGGUGCUAUCUACACUAUUAAGUCUUCACCAGAUGCAGCUUUUGUGAUCGCAAUAGGAGGUGAUAAUAGAUCAAACAGUUUUAAAGUCUGGGACAUAAGAGAUAGUGACAAAGCCCGAGUGCAUUUUUUACCAUCAUCACAAGGAAUUAGUUCAACAUCAGAAGAGGGUGCUACAAGUAGUGCUAAAGCUACAGACAAUAUGGCCAUGGACACUGAUUCAACAUCCUUUCUUAUGAAAAGUUUAACAUCAAAAUCAUCCUACAAAAAGCCCAUCAAGAAAAAAAAAAAGAAGAUUUAAAAGAACUUGUGAUAAUUGUUGUUAUAAAGUUUUAUGUUUGGGAAAUAGGUUAAAUUGUAUAUAUUUUAAUAAAGUAUC
This is a long non-coding RNA of Limulus polyphemus (Atlantic horseshoe crab), 521 nucleotides long. RefSeq lists it as uncharacterized. The record is from RefSeq and is a predicted model, not a curated record. The transcript has 3 exons. NCBI's taxonomy places the organism in Eukaryota, Metazoa, Arthropoda, Merostomata, Xiphosura, Limulidae.